This 433-nucleotide unclassified non-coding RNA is filed under the name soil metagenome. RNAcentral's name for it is "partial contains 5.8S ribosomal RNA, internal transcribed spacer 2, and large subunit ribosomal RNA". The stretch from base 1 to 120 matches the Rfam family "5.8S ribosomal RNA", at positions 35 to 154 of the family's 154-position model. The record is from RNAcentral.
GAUGAAGAACGUAGCGAAAUGCGAUACGUAAUGUGAAUUGCAGAAUUCAGUGAAUCAUCGAAUCUUUGAACGCAUAUUGCGCUCUCUGGUAUUCCGGAGAGCAUGCUUGUUUGAGUAUCAGUAAACACCUCAACUUCCAUAUCUUUUUUGAAAUGGGAGUUGGACUUGAGUGAUCCCAACGCUUUUCCUCACCGAAAAGUGGCGGGUUACUUGAAAUGCAGGUGCAGCUGGACUUUUCUCUGAGCUAUAAGCAUAUCUAUUUAGUCUGCCUAAAAAACAGAUUAUUACCUUUGCUGCAGCUAACAUAAAGGAGAUUAGUUCUUGUGCUGACUGAUGCAGGAUUCACAGAGACAGGCUUCGGCCGACUUUGUAAACUCGAUCUCAAAUCAAGUAAGACUACCCGCUGAACUUAAGCAUAUCAAUAAGCGGAGGA